GUCUACAGCCAUACCACCCUGAACUUGCCCAAUCUCGUCUGAUCUCGGAAGCUAAGCAGGGUCGGACCUGGUUAGUACUUAGGUGGGAGACUGCCUGGGAAUGCCGGGUGCUGUAGGCU
This 119-nucleotide ribosomal RNA is filed under the name Peromyscus maniculatus bairdii (prairie deer mouse). Lineage: Eukaryota; Metazoa; Chordata; Mammalia; Rodentia; Cricetidae. The record is from RNAcentral.